This 424-nucleotide ribosomal RNA is filed under the name uncultured crenarchaeote. Its description in RNAcentral is "bacterial SSU rRNA". It matches the Rfam family "Archaeal small subunit ribosomal RNA", at positions 448 to 871 of the family's 1478-position model. The record is from RNAcentral. Lineage: Archaea; Thermoproteati; Thermoproteota.
AAGACCGGUGCCAGCCGCCGCGGUAACACCGGCGGCUCGAGUGGUAACCGUUAUUAUUGGGUCUAAAGGGUCUGUAGCCGGCCGGAUAAGUCUCUUGAGAAAUCUGGCAGCUUAACUGUCAGGCUUUCAGGAGAUACUGUCUGGCUCGAGGCCGGGAGAGGUGAGAGGUACUUCAGGGGUAGGGGUGAAAUCUUGUAAUCCUUGAAGGACCACCAGUGGCGAAGGCGUCUCACCAGAACGGACCUGACGGCAAGGGACGAAAGCUAGGGGCACGAACCGGAUUAGAUACCCGGGUAGUCCUAGCCGUAAACGAUACUCGCUAGGUGUCGGCCACGGUGCGACCGUUGUCGGUGCCGUAGGGAAGCCGUGAAGCGAGCCACCUGGGAAGUACGGCCGCAAGGCUGAAACUUAAAGGAUUUGGCGG